This 1179-nucleotide unclassified non-coding RNA is filed under the name Bombus terrestris (buff-tailed bumblebee). Its description in RNAcentral is "misc RNA ENSBTSG00005025886.1". Lineage: Eukaryota; Metazoa; Arthropoda; Insecta; Hymenoptera; Apidae. The record is from RNAcentral.
UUUUCUGUUCUCAACAGGGCAUAUCGUGCAACUUAUUAAAUCACGAGGAAACAUCAAGUUGCGAGUUCAAUUCCAACAACGUCCAAUGUCCUACACAACUUUGUGCACGCAAGGAAACAUCCAAAAGACACAAAUUGUUCGAAUCGUUGUAUCAUAUCGAUCGAUAUCCGCGAAGCCAACUCAUUUUCCACGACUGACUUGACUUUUUUUUUACUUUUUUAUUUCGUUUUAAUAGACGUUCGAUUACGUAGACGACAUCGCAUAGCCCUGAUUAAUAGCAAUACGCAAUGGAAAGUGAUAGUUCGUAGAAUAAACGGACGAAUGAAACGCGAAACAGCCACUUUUGAUCAGUUCGUUCGACCGAGAUUUAACGUUGCAAAUAGAAAACUCCCACGACAUUGCGAAAUUGUCAAACGUUUUUAUAUCUAAUUAUCCUCUGCAUCGGAGAUCGUUGAUAAAAUGCUUGUCAUGUCGAAUGAAACGUCCUCUUACUGGAUAUCGCGUCUUUGUUCCUUCGCUACCGGUAAAACGAGUUCCUUCUAAAAACUGUUUACCGUAAUCGCGCCAGUCCCGCUAAUAAAACCAUUCGCACAACUUAUCCGUAGAUCACACCACAGCGAUCAUCCCCGUAACGACCUAUGAAUUAAACUAAAGCUUUUCGUCGGAAGCGCUGGUCUCACUUUCGCGAACAGCACGGUGACCAGUCACGCGUCUCGCGCGUAAACAAUUUCGAUUGAAGUUAGGUGUCGUACACAUAGAAAAUUCCCGCGAGAAAACUUCACCUCUUAAAUCCAGAGUUUUCCAUUCGAGUAACGACUAACGACAAUUCGCUAAAAUCUUUUUGCCAACGAUCCGAACGACCACGUGCGUCGAUCGCCGCGUGCAGACGACGAUCACAGCUGGCACGAUCACGCUUCGUUUUCCCGACGCGAACAGAUCGCGAGUUUCGAAUUUGGCCAACCACGGCGCUAGUAUCACCCGGCCACGUAUCCACGAAGGAAAGAAAUCGCGGCCAGUUAUUUACCUGUUCCUCUUUCGAGAAGGUGAAAGAGGAAGGGACCUAAGGUCCCCACCAUUUUCUACUUGUUAGUCCCUCCGUCUUUCCUUGCAACUGAUGUUGUCUCGUCUGGCGAAAUAAAAUCUUUCUCGUUCAUCAAUUUCCAUUUCUACUUCGAAUUG